RNAcentral lists this transfer RNA (71 nucleotides) under Bos taurus (domestic cattle). It matches the Rfam family "tRNA". From Rfam's summary of the family: Transfer RNA (tRNA) molecules are approximately 80 nucleotides in length. Their secondary structure includes four short double-helical elements and three loops (D, anti-codon, and T loops). RNAcentral also lists the same sequence under 1 other name. The record is from Rfam by way of RNAcentral. Lineage: Eukaryota; Metazoa; Chordata; Mammalia; Artiodactyla; Bovidae.
UCCCAAUGGCUGAAAACGUAAAGAAUCUGCCUGCAAUGCAGGAGACCCAGGUUUGAUCCCUGGGUUGGGAA